AUAGAAAUUUAGUAGUGUAUCAAACCUCUCUCUUUGAAAUUGUGCUCACAUUUCACCCUCUUCAUUAAUGAGUCUUAAGGCUAAAUGACUCCAGAUUGCCACAUGAGCACUAGACAGGAGUCCUGAGACUUUAGUCCUGGCUCUGUUAGCUCUGUGACUGUCAAAAGGAAGACCAUAUAAUCCCCAGCUAAUGAUCCCCACCCACCCCCAUGGACUGCCUCAAAAAACACCAAAGAUUCAUUCUUUUCUAUGGAAGAAACUUUAGAUCUUUUGGCAUGUCAUUCACAACCCUUUGUGAUCUAGCCUCAGACAGCCAUUGUACUUCAUUUCCCUCAGUUACUCUGUGCACCCUCAAUCCCAUCAAAAGCAAAUAUCUUUCUCAUCUCGAGAGUGACCUUUAGGUGGACUUCAUAGCUCUUGCCAUUGCUGAUGAUUCACCUUGUGCUAGAAAGUCUUUGACCAGCUUCUCCUUCCCCAAAUCCUGUACCUCAUGCAAGGCUCGGCUCUUUUGAGACUCAUCCAGGAAAACUUCCCUGCACCUUCUUGUCAGAAUCAAGUAGUCUUUCUGCUGAGCUCUAUUUGCUUGUACCUCUACUAUAGAACUCGCUUUAUUACUCUUUAUUUAUCAUUAAAAGCAGCCCCUUGUCCUGGUGUAGUCAGCUUUCCCCUGACUAAGCAGAAAUAUUUAGAAGUUAAAAUGUGAAUUCUGGAGUCUGAUUGCUUGGGGUUGAACCCCAUCUUUGUCACUUGGCCAACAGGUUACUCAGGCUUAGGUGAGUUAUUUGGACUCUCUGAGUCUCAGUUUUCUCAUCUGUAAAAUGGUGAUAAUAAUAAUAUUUCCCUGCUUGCAUUAUUGUGAGAGUUACCUGAGUUAUCUAUGCAAAGAGUUUCGCACAAUACCUGGCACACAGUAAUCACUCGGUAAGCAUCAGCUGUCAUUGCCCUCCCUGCCUAGAAAGGUAAUUCUGGAGGGCACCAGCCCUGCAAAGUGGAGAUCUGCCUGUCUGGCCUUGUCCCUUUCUUAUCUCCCUUUGCCAUCUCUCUCCUGAAAGGCUCACCCUAGGCUGUGUGGGCCAAGAUGAGGUGAUGGCAGGCUCAUCUGAGAGAGGAGCUUUUUCUUCAGAGCUCAGCCCACACUGUGUGGGCUGUGUUUUUAUACAACUUGCUGUAGGCCUGCAUCAGGUAUGAAAUUUACAUCAUUUGACUUGCCCAUGUGGGAAUCUUCCCCAUUCCUCUUGGCUCCUUAGAAUGGGUACAGGUGUUCAGUGCCUCCUCCUCCCAAUGCUCUUCAGCAGAUGAGGAACCGAGGUCCAAAGAUGAAAACAAGGCUGAUGACUCACCUGUUAGACACAGUUGGCACAGUGCCUGAGGUCUACAGUACUUUUGUUAAACUACAAAAAUGGAUUAAUUCUUUCUUUUAGAAUUAAUUAAUUUCUUUUAGAUUAAUUUCUUUUAGAAUCAGAAGAAAAAAUAAUAUAAUAAUAAUACAUCUAAAAUAAGGAAUCCAGACUCUCAAUUACAUUUAUUUUUAUAACAAUGCAAUCAUAAAGCAUAAUUUUGGAAGAAGGAGCCUAUGAAAGUCAUGAAGUGACCAUGGAUGAAAAGAAAUUUGCCCAAGAUUAAUAGUGGCAAAUUAAAGCACAAGUUCCCGUCUUAUUACCCUCCAAAUAGAAAUUUUUUUCUCUGCAUUUUCAAGAAAACUGGUAGAAUUUAUUUUACCACAGUCAUCUUCUUUCACAAAUAAGAAAACGGACACCUGAGAGAGAGUGUGACUUGCCUAAGGUCUCGCCAACACACAACUAAGUUGUAUUUUCCUAACUCCCUGUUACUCCUUUCACUAUUUAUACAUUCAAACCUAAUGACCACUGAUGUCAACCUCCCAUUAUAUAGAUGGAAACAUCGAGGGCCAGAAAGUUGAAGGGGCUUAUAUGAUGUAACAAGGACCGCCACUCUUGCCUCUAAAUCAGGGCGCCCUCCAGUACCAAGAGGAGCGUUUGAAAACUGGAUACACAAUUUUGUUAGACAGCAGGAAUCACUUCAAGAGAUCUAUUAUACAACAUGAUGACUAUAGUUACUAUUGCACACUUGAAAAUUGCUAGGAAAAUAGAUUUUAAGUGUUCUCACCACAAAAAUUCUAAUAAGCAUGUAAGAUAAUGCAUACUUAAUUAACUUGGUUCAGCCAUUCCAUAAUGUAUACGUAUUUCAUAAUAUCAUGUUGUACAGUAUUAAUAUACAUAAUUUUUGUCAAUUAAAUACAAAUACAAAUAAUACAAACUU
Molecule: long non-coding RNA, 2277 nt
Filed under: Homo sapiens (human)
Lineage: Eukaryota; Metazoa; Chordata; Mammalia; Primates; Hominidae
Description: non-protein coding lnc-TRIM32-11:1
Source: RNAcentral